Non-coding RNA from Caenorhabditis elegans, 145 nucleotides. The record is from Ensembl. Lineage: Eukaryota; Metazoa; Nematoda; Chromadorea; Rhabditida; Rhabditidae.
CUGAGACCUACCUCACAUCUCCUACAUCAUCAGACCAAUAAAGAUCAGUCGAGCGCGCGCAUUGUUGCUCUCUCUCGCGGGCGCGAGCUCUCCGCACUGGACACACUGUGUUUAUUUUCACUUUCUAAACCCCCCAGCAACAGAG